GUCGUGAAUUUUUUUUUUUAUUCUUUCCUUCCCCGCUAUUUUUUUUUUUUUUUGCAAUAUAAAUUUCAUUUGUGAUCGUUACAGGUAUGCGGUGUUGCGCAAUACCUGCGCAAUAACGGUACAAACGUGCGUGACGGCAAUCUGAAAAGCGCGGAGGAAGAAGGAGAAAUCGGUAUAAGGAAUAUAACUCGGUGUAUGAAGUCAUCUGCAGCAAGGAUCUUUCACCUUGUCCACGCUGUUCUAAGAACGUCCUGCGUGGAACCGCAAUCGAGUAUGGUUACAACCUAACCCUAACGCGGAGGGAAUUUGUUUUCUCGACGACGACGAUGAUGAUGACGACGACGAUGACGGUAUUUCUCGAUAAAGAUAAAUAAUUCCUAGAAGAAAUGAAUAAAAUCGAAUGGAGACGCGAUUUACAUUCAAUUUCUUAUGAAGCAUAAAAAAAAAAAUGCUUUGGAUGGUCAAAUCGAGAAAAAUUGUUUUGGCAUGGUAACAAAGGAAAGAACGGUGGAGGGAAAGAUGGUAUCGGCAGCGCCGCUUUAAGGAGUAAUUUCCCGCGCGCGAGGAAGAAAAAAAGAAAAUACGAAGGAACGACGUUUACGACGUUUCGAGGAAGAAGCAAGAAUCUCAUCCUCUCUGUAUUUCUCCGUUUACACGAUUACAAAGUAAGACACGCGGUCGGUUAUGUAGAUAUUUAAAAAGUUCUUCGAUCUUCGGAGAAAAAAAAUAUAAGUUUGCGACCUCGA
Long non-coding RNA from Apis mellifera (honey bee), 746 nucleotides. RefSeq lists it as uncharacterized. The record is from RefSeq and is a predicted model, not a curated record. The transcript has 2 exons. NCBI's taxonomy places the organism in Eukaryota, Metazoa, Arthropoda, Insecta, Hymenoptera, Apidae.